GUGGGUGUAGCUCAGUUGGCAGAGCACUGGGUUGUGGUCCCAGGUGUCAUGGGUUCGAGUCCCAUCACUCACC
RNAcentral lists this transfer RNA (73 nucleotides) under Acidothermus cellulolyticus 11B. It matches the Rfam family "tRNA". From Rfam's summary of the family: Transfer RNA (tRNA) molecules are approximately 80 nucleotides in length. Their secondary structure includes four short double-helical elements and three loops (D, anti-codon, and T loops). The record is from Rfam by way of RNAcentral. Lineage: Bacteria; Bacillati; Actinomycetota; Actinomycetes; Acidothermales; Acidothermaceae.